AGCACCUUGGCGCAGUGGAAGCGCGCGGGGCUCAUAACCCCGAGGGCCCUGGAUCGAAACCAGGAGGUGCUA
Molecule: non-coding RNA, 72 nt
Organism: Coemansia sp. RSA 988
Lineage: Eukaryota; Fungi; Kickxellomycota; Kickxellomycetes; Kickxellales; Kickxellaceae
Source: the annotation of a GenBank genome assembly